RNAcentral lists this ribosomal RNA (253 nucleotides) under uncultured bacterium. RNAcentral describes it as "partial 16S ribosomal RNA". It matches the Rfam family "Bacterial small subunit ribosomal RNA", at positions 524 to 776 of the family's 1533-position model. The record is from RNAcentral.
UACGUAGGGUGCGAGCGUUGUCCGGAAUUAUUGGGCGUAAAGGGCUCGUAGGCGGUCUGUCACGUCGGGAGUGAAAACACGGGGCUUAACCCCGUGCCUGCUUCCGAUACGGGCAGACUAGAGGUAUGCAGGGGAGAACGGAAUUCCUGGUGUAGCGGUGAAAUGCGUAGAGAUCGGGAGGAACACCAGUGGCGAAGGCGGCCUUCUGGACCAAUACUGACGCUCAUGCACGAAAGCGUGGGGAGCAAACAGG